UCCUCCUCAGGCUUGAAGAGAUUUCCAGGAGCGGUGACUCUCAUCUGCUCGAAGAUGAGCCCACUGUGGACCUUCCUCUUCGUGCUGUCAGCUCCCAGCGGGGUCCUGUCCCAGGUGCAGCUGCAGGAGUCGGGACCCAGCCUGGUGAAGCCCUCACAGACCCUCUCCCUCACCUGCGCUGUCUCUGGAUUCUCACUAACCAGCUAUGCUGUAGGCUGGGUCCGCCAGGCUCCAGGGAAGGCGCUGGAGUGGGUUGGUGGAAUAAGUAGUGGUGGAAGUACAUACUAUAAGCCAGCCCUGAAAUCCCGGCUCAGCAUCACCAGGGACACCUCCAAGAGCCAAGUCUCUCUGUCACUGAGCAGCGUGACACCUGAGGACACGGCCGUGUAUUACUGUGCAAAGGACACAGUGAGGGGAAUGGUUAUGGUUGGAACUGGAUCCGCCAGGCCCCAGGGAAGGGGCUAG
This is a non-coding RNA of Cervus elaphus (red deer), 465 nucleotides long. The record is from the annotation of a RefSeq genome assembly. Lineage: Eukaryota; Metazoa; Chordata; Mammalia; Artiodactyla; Cervidae.